Molecule: non-coding RNA, 1901 nt
Organism: Marmota flaviventris (yellow-bellied marmot)
Lineage: Eukaryota; Metazoa; Chordata; Mammalia; Rodentia; Sciuridae
Source: RefSeq, a predicted model, not a curated record
UGCCUGAGCACCAUGCCGGACAUGCGUGCGGAGGAGGAGCGGAGCAUGCAAACGCACCAUGUGACUGACUGGAGGAGCGGGCGAGGGCCCCUCUGCCUCCCUGCAGGUGGACACAGGCAGCACUGUGGGUGCAGGCAGCUGGUGAGAACCUGAGGGAAGGGUGUCUGCCAUCUCACCUUUUCCCGAGUCCUGGACCCUGGGUCGCUGCUCACACCGCACACAGGGUAGGGCUCUUCUGACCAGCUCAGAAAGGCCGGGCCUGGGCCCCUCCUGCUUCUUUGCCUGGCGUUCCUAAUGUCAGUGUGGGUCUUCUCUGCCUCCCUGAGCAGCCCACUGUGAGCACGCCCUGGCUGGACCCUGGCGCUGCCCCACCAGCUCCUGGAGAGGAGGAGAGGCCGAGCUGUGAACUAAGAAGCAGAGCUGGACCCUGACUGCAGCCUCUCAAGUCGGUCCUCCCAGCCGGUGUUGCCUGAUGAAUGUAUGCUGGGGUGGAUUCAGUUCCCUUAAAAACUGCAGCUUAUCUGUCAAAAUACUUCAGUCCUAUUUAGGGAGGUGAUGGGAGGCAAUGAAAUCAUAGACACUUGGAGAAAUCCUUCUUCUCCACUUAUUCCAGUAAACUCUCAGUAGCUCUUCAACUGCAAGAACCAAGCGGGACAGAUGCCUGACCUGAGGGCUGACAAGAAUGGGCCCUUCCUGGCCACCCACAUCCCCCUCUUCACAAAAGUCUUUCUUCUUCUUACUGCUGGUGGGGCCCAGGAGAGGGGCAGGUGGGGGAGGCAGCACAGCCGUCUGCCCAGGAAGCCACCAGGGAAGGUCCCUUCUCUGUUUCUCUGACCUGGGAAGCCAGGGUGUCCUGAGGACAUCAUUAGAGUGAUCCGCCUCUCAUGAAACAAGUGUAUACUUAGUAAGGACCCGCACUGGAGCUGCUGUAGGCAAAUCCAAACAGCCUGGUGAGCAAGGACAGAAGCUGCUCACACUGGCAGUCCAAAGACACCAGGCAGCUGGGCGCAGUGGCAUGGGCCUGUGCUCCCAGCUACUAUGGGGGCUGAGGCAGAAGGAUCACUUGAGCCCAGGAGUAUGAGGCCAGUCUGGGCAACAUAGACUCUGUCUUAAACAGAAAUGACCAGACACCCAGAUACAGUGUGCGGGGGCAUUAAGCAUGCAGACGACAGCUUUACCAGUCAGACAGGAAAGGGUGGCCAUCCCCUGGGUGGUGCAGGGUAGAAUUCAGAUAAAUUUCAGGUCUCUGGGAAACUGUCGAAAACACUAAGUCCAUACAGUUAAUAAAAGAAGAUGUAGGUGAAUAUAUUUGCCCUUUUGGGUGUGGAGGAAAUCUUUUUAGGUUUGGUAAGAAAGCCAGAAACCACACAGGAAAAUAUUUAACGACAUAAAAAUUAAAAGCUGGUGAACGCCCUCCCCCAGACUUGAGCAGUUGACCGUGAUCUAGGAGCAGACCUGCAGCACCCAUGGCUCAUGGCUGAUGUCUGGGGAGGUCUGAGGAGUCGGGAAGCCCUGCCAGGAGGAGCCAGCCCCUGCCCGGCGUGACAAAGCUGUGGGGCCCACGGCAGGUGGUGGAGGAGGCAUGUGGCAGUGAGGCCAGCUCCUGCCCACACCUGUGGGGCAGGGCUGGAUGCAGGGUCCUCAGGGUUGUGCCCCCCCAGAGCCACGAGUCGCAUCCAAGCAGGAGGUCCUGUGUGGGAGCUGAUCGGGAGAAAUAGCUGCAUCUCCUGUCUAGGGUGGGCCCUGACCUGUUGUUUGACCAGGUGAAAUCAGAACAGCAUUUUUCCAUCCAGCUGUGGUCUGUAGUGAUAGUAGUCUAUUCAGUUCAAACAGGCUCACCUCUGCGAACCAAGAGCUCAGUGCUCUGCGCCGGGCACAGAGCCGACGAGACGUGGAGGGGA